Molecule: long non-coding RNA, 203 nt
Filed under: Panax ginseng (ginseng)
Lineage: Eukaryota; Viridiplantae; Streptophyta; Magnoliopsida; Apiales; Araliaceae
Description: long non-coding RNA (PGIN_LNC016374)
Source: RNAcentral
GAAGGUACGGUCUUUCAAGAAUGACUUCAGUGGGCCAAUUCCAUUCCAAGAAAUCGCGACCGUGAAUUCAAAGUUAAAGAAGGCAAGGAUAGAUCGUUCCAUCUCCGGAAACAAGCCAUACAUGAUAUGAUGGGAGCAGAUCUGCAUCCGCCGUUCGCAAAUUCAAAGUUAAAGAAGGCAAGGAUAGAUCACUCCAUCUCCGG